GAGUUUGAUCUUGGCUCAGAUUGAACGCUGGCGGCAUGCCUUACACAUGCAAGUCGAACGGCAGCGCGGGAGCAAUCCUGGCGGCGAGUGGCGAACGGGUGAGUAAUACAUCGGAACGUGCCCAAUCGUGGGGGAUAACGCAGCGAAAGCUGUGCUAAUACCGCAUACGAUCUACGGAUGAAAGCAGGGGACCGCAAGGCCUUGCGCGACUGGAGCGGCCGAUGGCAGAUUAGGUAGUUGGUGGGGUAAAGGCUCACCAAGCCGACGAUCUGUAGCUGGUCUGAGAGGACGACCAGCCACACUGGGACUGAGACACGGCCCAGACUCCUACGGGAGGCAGCAGUGGGGAAUUUUGGACAAUGGGCGCAAGCCUGAUCCAGCCAUGCCGCGUGCAGGAUGAGGAUCUUCGGGUCGUAAACUCCUGUCGAAUGGGACGAAUGGGUAGCGGGUUAACAACCCGCGACCGUGACGGUACCGUUAAAGGAACCCCGGCUAACUCCGUGCCAGCA
Molecule: ribosomal RNA, 509 nt
Filed under: uncultured beta proteobacterium
Lineage: Bacteria; Pseudomonadati; Pseudomonadota; Betaproteobacteria
Also listed under: 1 other name
Description: bacterial SSU rRNA
Rfam family: Bacterial small subunit ribosomal RNA
Source: RNAcentral